RNAcentral lists this ribosomal RNA (492 nucleotides) under uncultured bacterium. Its description in RNAcentral is "bacterial SSU rRNA". It matches the Rfam family "Bacterial small subunit ribosomal RNA", at positions 903 to 1397 of the family's 1533-position model. The record is from RNAcentral.
AAAGGAAUUGACGGGGGCCCGCACAAGCGGAGGAACAUGUGGUUUAAUUCGAUGAUACGCGAGGAACCUUACCCGGGCUUGAAUUGCACAGGACGGUAGCAGAGACGCUACUUUCUUCGGACCUGUGUGAAGGUGCUGCAUGGUUGUCGUCAGCUCGUGCCGUGAGGUGUCGGCUUAAGUGCCAUAACGAGCGCAACCCUUAUUUACGGUUGCCAUCAGGUAAAGCUGGGCACUCCGUAGACACUGCCAUCGUAAGAUGUGAGGAAGGUGGGGAUGACGUCAAAUCAGCACGGCCCUUACGUCCGGGGCUACACACGUGUUACAAUGGAUGGUACAGAAGGCAGCAACCUGGCAACAGGAAGCCAAUCCCGAAAGCCAUUCUCAGUUCGGACUGGAGUCUGCAACUCGACUCCACGAAGCUGGAUUCGCUAGUAAUCGCGCAUCAGCCAUGGCGCGGUGAAUACGUUCCCGGGCCUUGUACACACCGCCCGU